This 253-nucleotide unclassified non-coding RNA is filed under the name uncultured delta proteobacterium. Its description in RNAcentral is "contains 16S-23S intergenic spacer region". It matches the Rfam family "Bacterial small subunit ribosomal RNA", at positions 524 to 776 of the family's 1533-position model. The record is from RNAcentral. Lineage: Bacteria; Deltaproteobacteria.
UACGGAGGGUGCAAGCGUUGUUCGGAAUUAUUGGGCGUAAAGAGCGCGUAGGCGGCUUGUUUAGUCUGAUGUGAAAGCCCUCGGCUUAACCGGGGAAGUGCAUUGGAUACUGGCAGGCUUGAGUCCGAGAGAGGGAAGUGGAAUUCCAGGUGUAGCGGUGAAAUGCGUAGAUAUCUGGAGGAACAUCGGUGGCGAAGGCGACUUCCUGGAUCGGUACUGACGCUGAGGCGCGAAAGCGUGGGUAGCAAACAGG